Molecule: long non-coding RNA, 1799 nt
Filed under: Carassius auratus (goldfish)
Lineage: Eukaryota; Metazoa; Chordata; Actinopteri; Cypriniformes; Cyprinidae
Description: lncRNA (ENSCARG00000047169.1)
Source: RNAcentral
UUGGUGAAACACAGUGUCAACUAAUGUGUCACCUGAUGGGAAGCAAGGAUAAAGUUAUUUCUGUCUAGUUUUGUGUUGUCAUAGACGCAUAACUUAUUUUAGCAUCUUUAAAACUUUAAUUUCUUUUCAAGCUUUUAAUUGUUUGUUGCAAAUGCACAUAGCCUUCAACCUGUAGGAUACAUAGCCUUAUCCAGUAGGGUUGCCACUCAGUUACAGAAAAGGUUGUUUGGGCCCACUGGCCAGAAAUUAUACUAUUUCAUGGAAUUAAGAAGCAUUUUUCCUACUUCUAUUCUGCUCAGCAACAACAUCCCCAAAUGAUGCUGAUGUUGCUGUUGUGGCCAGACGAAUUGAGGAGCUGGUCACCAGUAUUAAAAGGAGGUCCCAACGUCUUUAUAAAGACAAUGAUGGCUGCACAGGUCGUGCCCGGAUACGCCAAAAGAUCAGGGAGGAAAAGAAAUGUUUAAAUUCUGUGGUGGAUCAAUAUAAUACCAUGGUCCCUAAUGCAGAAAACCUGGACUUGGACACCAUUCUUUCAGACGACACCCUUUGGCCAUGGCAGCUUCCACAUGGUGACUCUGUAGAUCUAAGGACAAAGAGAAAGGCAUUUGACACAGUGAUGGCAGUAAGGAGACUUGAGGAGGAGAAGAGGAUUCUCAUUGCUGAGAUGAAAAAACACUGGAAAUUUCUUUGCACCCGUGCAGACACUCUAAAGGAGAUGUCAUCCCAGCUUUGCAGUGGGACAUCAAGUGAGAUGUGGGGCCUGAGUAAAGAGGGAAUCCAAGGUCUGCAGAGCUUAAUGACGAAGAGCACACAAGCCAUCAACAAAAUACUGAAGCACACAAAGAACUGUUAUAUUCAAGUUCUGACUGGAACAGAAGUGAACUUUGAAAGUGAUUCGGAUGAAUACCAUAGUGACUCUGAACUUUCAGAAGAUUAAACCGAGGAUGUAAGAUAAACAGCUUUAAAGUGUCUUGUCAAUGGCAAGAAGAUCAUUGUAGCACCUGGACUCUUUAUGUUGAAAUGCAAUUCACAAUUCAGUUUGUCACAUACAGAAUCAGAGUACGACAAGCUUUAAAAUGCUUAGUGCGGUGCUGUGUCAUAACAAAAGAUUGGAAAUAAAAAGAGAAGAAGAGUUCAAUGUGCAACAUCCGAUUUCCGUACCUGUGUUUACAUCAGUUUAGAUAACAUUCUUUUGUUCAGUCCAGUAUCAAUGAUUUCUAGAAAAAUACAUUUUGACAUGAGUUUCUUCAUGGUCGAACUCACACGGCCUUUAGCACAGAUAAGUCUUCUCAAUAAAAUUCUUAAGCCCAGUAUAUAGUACCUCUAACCUGCAUCUGUGAUUGGUAUUUCUUGCUGUGUUGAUAGAUAUUUGUUGCCAUUGGUCCAGGAGCUGUAUAACCACAUCAUCGAGGUUGGAGGUCUCAUAAACCCAGCAUUUAAAGAGGAUGUGUGUCGCGCAGAAAAACUAAUGACAUUUCUGCUAUAGCUUGGAUCUGAAAGCUGUGCUAAAUUGAACAUUUACCCUUAUUGUUAUAACCAUCAAUUCAAUGAUAAAAUGAUUUAGUUUUUAUACUUGACUUAUUUUUCUUAUUUUCUGUCACAGAUUGUCCUUAUUUGUGUUAAUUGUAAUCUGUUUUUUUUUUCUCUAUGUUAUGGUGUUAUUGUGGUCAUUGUUUUCUGAUUUUGUCUCAUUUCUACAUUUUCAUUCAUUGUUUUAUGGAAUGAUAAUAAAACAUCUUUGAUCCUUAAGUAACCUUUGUAAUCUUUCUGUGUUGUCAACACACUAGAGGUCUUUGUUU